Molecule: ribosomal RNA, 953 nt
Filed under: uncultured Neocallimastigales
Lineage: Eukaryota; Fungi; Neocallimastigomycota; Neocallimastigomycetes; Neocallimastigales
Description: partial large subunit ribosomal RNA
Rfam family: Eukaryotic large subunit ribosomal RNA (bases 171-953)
Source: RNAcentral
CUAUACAUGACUCUGGCGCAUAUCAAAAGCGGAGGAAAAGUAAAUGCUGUAUACCUACGCUUAGGAUGUUGACGAGACUGUCGAUCUCAUCUAUACAUGACUCUGCGCAUAUCAAUAAGCGGAGGAAAAGACUCGAACUACCCCUACGCUUAGGAUGUUGACGAGACUGUCGAUCUCAUCUAUACAUGACUCUGCGCAUAUCAAUAAGCGGAGGAAAAGAAACUAACAAGGAUUCCUCUAGUAACGGCGAGUGAAGCGGGAAGAGCUCAAAUUUGAAAUCUUCAAGGUUUGACCUUGACGAAUUGUAGUUUAAAGAGGUGUUUUCUGUUGGAGUUUUGGUAAAAGUUCUUUGGAAUAGGACAUCAUAGAGGGUGAGAAUCCCGUAUUUGACCAUUAUUUCCAGCUGUGUGAUACACUUUCAAAGAGUCGGAUUGUUUGGGAAUGCAGUCCAAAAUGGGUGGUAAAUUUCAUCUAAAGCUAAAUAUUGGCGAGAGACCGAUAGCGAACAAGUACCGUGAGGGAAAGAUGAAAAGAACUUUGAAAAGAGAGUUAAACAGUACGUGAAAUUGUCAAAAGGGAAGCGUUUGACACCAGUGUUGUUUUCUCGAAAAUCAAUUAAAAAUGAUGGGAUUUUGUGUUGUAUUGACUUUAUCAGCUUUCUGCACUUUUUUCUUAUCUUUCUUAAUGCACUUUUCGGUUAACAAGUCAACAUCAAUUUCUUUUGUUGUAAAAGGGUAUGAGGAAGGUGGCUUUCUUUUCGGAGAAAGUGUUUAUAGCCUUGUACCUCUGCAAUCGGAGAGAUUGAGGUCUGCAGCGUAGAUCCUUCGGGGUUAGAUACAUUUGUGCUAAGUUAUAGCUUUUCAUAGACAACUUGUUGACUAUGAUCAGUCAUGUAGCUUACUCGCUUAUGUCAUUUUACCUACGCUUAGGAUGUUGACGAGACUGUCGAUCUC